This 2909-nucleotide long non-coding RNA is filed under the name Homo sapiens (human). RNAcentral's name for it is "non-protein coding lnc-GRHL2-8:3". The record is from RNAcentral. Lineage: Eukaryota; Metazoa; Chordata; Mammalia; Primates; Hominidae.
AGAUUCAGGCUGUAUUUAGUGGGGGAGGGAUCUGGCCUCAUAUCCUUCAUCUUUAUGCUGCUCCACUCCAGCUCACAGCCCCUCCAACUGGAUGGAGCUCUUCGAAGGGAGGGGCAUUUCAGAGGAGGGUCUCAGGGAUAGCCCCUUUGUGGGGCUGGGCCACCAGGUUGGGGAGAGUGGAGCUGCUGGAACUCUGGAGGGACUGGCUGAGCCAGCUUUCCCAGUGCACCCCUCUGGGAGGGCAGGCUCUCGGUGUAGGCUGCCCAUCUCCUCGCUCUCCUCUGGCACUGCUCCUAUGCCCCCUUGGUUAGCCUGGGAGCCCAUACUACCCAGACUUGGGGUCAAUAAGCAGAGGACCUGUAAGGAGUCCUUGAUGGGAUGUACAGCACUGCCCAACCCUGCACAAGGUAGGGUAUUGCUGUUUGUUGUGUGGUGAGCUGCCUGCUUAUGGCUGGGUUUGGGCCUCCAUCCAUUUUUAUUUUCUUUGAGUUGGUCUCUGGGCAAAGCUUCUCCCAGCAGGCGGAAUCUGGCCUGGGGGCUCCAGCUUCUCUCACCUGCCUGGCCUCCCAAGAGCUAGAGAGCUCCACAUCUCAACUCAUCUAUAACUCAUUAGCAGAACCAUCAGCUAGCAGAAACUAGGAAUAAUAAAAAUGUGCCGUAUUUUCACAAGCUGGAUGCCAGGCUUGGUGGUCAGGACACAGACUGCUUUCAGCUCCCACAUGCCCCUCCUGCUAGCUGCUUUGUGCAGAGUAGUGGCUACAUGGCUGCAGGUGAGAGCCCUGCCUGUGAACAGGCCACCAGGAUGCUGGGACAUACGAGUUGAUAACCCAUGGGCUCCUGAGAGCAGAGAUUGUGACUUACUCAUCUUUGAUGUAGCCAAGUUCUAACAAACCUAAAUGUGCAGAUCAAAGAAGUCUUGCUGUGUCCAGAUCAUAUAAAUAUUGAAUAAGGCUGCUUGGAAUCCUUAAAGGAGUUUGGAGAGGAGGAGGAGGAGUUCAAUGCAGAAGAUGGUAUCAGAAAAUGCUGAACUUCAGCUAAGAGCUAAUACAAAAGUCAGCAACAAAGGAAUGAGAAUGGAUCCUAUCAGGCAUGGCUUCUAUUUUUGGCUUGGAAUUUGCACACACAUUGCUUUUAAGGUAUAAGUCGUGCAAGAAUUUGACUGUCUGGGUCAGAACAAUGAGAAGGAGAAAAGCAUUUAUCUCUUGAUUUGGUUUUCUAAACUUUCCUCCUUUAUUUGGAAGUCCAGUAUAUUAACUUGAGGCUCCUGGCCUCACGCUGUCUUUCUACACUUGCUGCAGGAGAGUUCUCUACCCACUCCUGGGGCAGGUGGUCUCAAGGGUCUUUCAUGAGUAGGCUAUUCUCCAAAUGACCCCUGUUGAUUUAGGAGUCAUGUUUGCUGGGAAGCCUUCCCUGACACCCCAAAAGUGGACCAGGCCCCUCUCUCUGCAGCCCCACAGGCCCCAGUGCUCACUUUCACCAGAGCACACGUAACACUGGCUUGUGUGAGUGUCCAUCUCUCCCACUGCACUAGAGCAGCUGGGGCAGGCUCAGUGCCUUAGUCACCAGUACAUCCCCAGCCCCUAGCACAGUGCCCAAUACACAGCAGGUGCUCAAAAAACAUGUGCUGAAUGAAUACACGAGGAGAAGUGUAUGAGGGAAGUUCCCAGGGCGGCCCUCCAGCCAGAAGCUUCCUGAGUUCUUGUUGUGGCUUCUCUAGGUAAUCGCUGGUACCACCCAGGAGAUCAGAAUACCGAUCCCCCAACUUGUCUGCCCUCAAGUGUAGCACAUCCAGUAGGCUACUUUAUGAGACACGAAACUCUUUUCCCAUGGUGUGGUGAGUCUGGGUGCAAAUCUUUUUGGAGCAAGUGGUGGGCACGUAGUCAGGCAUGAAUUCUACCCCGUGGUUUAGAGUUAAAACCUGAUUUCAUGAGUCUCUUCACAGGCUUUUCAAAUUCUCUCACCAUCUCUGGCUGCUCUAAGCCCAGAUUCUUGAAGUUUAAUGUCUUUCUUCACAUCUUACCUUUUUGUUUGUUUAUUUAUUUUGAGACAGGGGCUCAUUCUGUCUCCCAGGCUGGAGUGCAGUGGUGUGAUCACGUCUCACUGCAGCCUCGACCUCCCAGGCAAUCCUCCUGCCUCAGACUCCCACGUAGCUGGGACCACAAGCACACACCCCUAUGCCCAGCUAAUUUUUUAUUUUUGUAGAGAUGGGGUCUCACUGUGUUGUCCAAGCUGGUCUCGAACUCUUGGUCUCAAGUGAUCCGCCCUCCUUGGCUUUCCAAAUUGUUGGGAUUACAAGUGUAAGCCACCACACCCAGCCAUAUUUUACCUUAAUUAUUUUCCUUGUCAGAGGCUGGGACAUCUCUCACUCUUUCUCUUCUUUAUGGGUUUUUGGAAGAUGAGGGCAUUUUGGAGUCAAGGUCCUUUGGUUUCCAGUUGAAAUUCCUCUCCUUGCAGCCCCUUGGAAGAUUCUGUAGCCUGGUCUUGAGUCCCCUGUAUUCAUACUUUGUGUCCUUCCCCGUGCUCUGUUCUCCGUCCUCUCGUCCUCUCUGGAAGCUCUGUCCACUGAAUGCAUGUGCCCAGGCCUUGUGUCCCAUUGAGGCUCACCCCCCAACCCAUCCUCCACAGCCCCUGCCCUGCAGAAGAUUCCUCAUUCAGCCACAUCCUCACCCGGGCUGUCAUCAGCUCCACCUCCCACCAAGGGUCUCCCACUGACCUCCCUCAACUUCCCAACUUCCACCGCUUCAAAAUUGUUUGCCCAGCCUGGGUCUCCCCUCCAUGCACUGUGAUUCAGGGAAAGGACUUGCGGUUUCAGAUAGUCACUCACCUCUGUCCUCACUUGCUCUUUCUAAUGAGAAGGUGCCAUAGGCCUUGAGAAAGUGAGCAGGGAUUUACCAGGAGGACAAAGGGAA